GGGGGUGUAGCUCAGAUGGUAGAGCGCGCGCUUAGCAUGCGCGAGGUAACGGGAUCGAUACCCGAGACCUCCA
Molecule: non-coding RNA, 73 nt
Organism: Ciona savignyi (Pacific transparent sea squirt)
Lineage: Eukaryota; Metazoa; Chordata; Ascidiacea; Phlebobranchia; Cionidae
Source: Rfam